AUUGAACGCUGGCGGCAUGCCUUACACAUGCAAGUCGAACGGCAGCACGGGAGCUUGCUCCUGGUGGCGAGUGGCGAACGGGUGAGUAAUACAUCGGAACGUGCCCUGAAGUGGGGGAUAACGUAGCGAAAGUUACGCUAAUACCGCAUAUUCUGUGAGCAGGAAAGCAGGGGAUCGUAAGACCUUGUGCUUUAGGAGCGGCCGAUGUCGGAUUAGCUAGUUGGUGGGGUAAAGGCCUACCAAGGCGACGAUCCGUAGCGGGUCUGAGAGGAUGAUCCGCCACACUGGAACUGAGACACGGUCCAGACUCCUACGGGAGGCAGCAGUGGGGAAUUUUGGACAAUGGGCGCAAGCCUGAUCCAGCCAUGCCGCGUGAGUGAAGAAGGCCUUCGGGUUGUAAAGCUCUUUCGGCGGGGAAGAAAUUGCGUGGGUUAAUACCCUGCGUAGAUGACGGUACCCGCAUAAGAAGCACCGGCUAACUACGUG
Molecule: ribosomal RNA, 486 nt
Filed under: uncultured bacterium
Lineage: Bacteria
Description: bacterial SSU rRNA
Rfam family: Bacterial small subunit ribosomal RNA
Source: RNAcentral